CUACGGGGUGCACCAGCCGCGAAAACUUUACAAUGCACGAAAGUGUGAUAAGGGAAUCCAAAGUGCUCAUGUUUUUACAUGGGCUUUUGCCAAGAGUAAAUAUCUUGGAGAAUAAGUGAUGGGUAAGACUGGUGCCAGCAGCCGCGGUAACACCAGCGUCACGAGUGGGAAUCAUAUUUAUUUGGCCUAAAGCGUCCGUAGCCGGCUUGGUAAAUUUAUUGUGAAAUCAUUGUGCUCAACGCAAUGGCGUGCAGUGAACACUGCCAGGCUUGAGACUGGGAGGAGUCAGAAGUAUUCUUGGGGGAGCGGUAAAAUGCUAUAAUCCCAAGAGGACUACCUGUGGCGAAGGCGUCUGACUAGUACAGUUCUGACGGUGAGGGACGAAAGCUAGGGGAGCGAUCCGGAUUAGAUACCCCGGUAGUC
This 423-nucleotide ribosomal RNA is filed under the name uncultured archaeon. RNAcentral describes it as "partial 16S ribosomal RNA". It matches the Rfam family "Archaeal small subunit ribosomal RNA", at positions 323 to 746 of the family's 1478-position model. The record is from RNAcentral.